This is a long non-coding RNA of Cyprinus carpio carpio, 807 nucleotides long. Lineage: Eukaryota; Metazoa; Chordata; Actinopteri; Cypriniformes; Cyprinidae. The record is from Ensembl.
CGAUGAUUCAUUCAUAAAACACAGAUACGUUCACUUGUCGCCGCCUGCUGGUGUAGCAGUUAAUCGCGGUCUUAAUUUCAACAGCAAAGAAUGGUUAAACAAGUUUAAAGACUCAGACGAGGCCCAGUUAGUUCCGCUGGACUCUGAGAAGAAUGUAAAAUGAAAAUGCACAACCGAAAGAAAGGAUAUGGUUUUAAGGAGGACCGUAUGUUCAAACAUUAACGUUUUUAGAGUGGUGGGAAGUUUCGUGUAUCCCACAUGUCCGGGGCAGAGUGACACAUGUUUAAAGAUAUCCCUUUCCUUUUCCUCACCACUGCCCUCAACCGCCGUGAAUGUCCAUUACCCUGGUGACGGCCAUUACCCUUGAGUUCACACUGCAUGGGCCGCUAAAGCCUACUGAAUAUGUGCUUUGGACAGUGAGGUGUGUUUGACUUCAAACCAACGUCAUCUUUCUUCUGUUAGACAGAAGCCUGGCGGACAUGCGUCUCAAUUCAGACUGAUAUGAGAGAAAAUAUUGAGCCUGGAGCUUGACCAGUGCAUUGGAGGCCUUGGAAGGGCAGAACAGUGGUUGAGACGAGUCUGCAUGAGAUGACAGUCUCCAAGAAAGCUGUGUCCAAAAACACAAGCUUCUGUAACAAGCUCCAAAGAAUUCUCCCUGGCCUCAUGAGCUCAGUGUCAGACAAAAGCUUUGUUUAUAGAAGGAUGAUGCUUGCAGUGUGUCAUCCAUCCACUACUGAUGAUGACACAACAUGAACUAUUGUUUGUUCAUUUUUAAUGACAGCUCCCACCUCAAUAAAUUCACACGCU